AUAUCAAUAAGCGGAGGAAAAGAAACCAACAGGGAUUGCCCUAGUAACGGCGAGUGAAGCGGCAACAGCUCAAAUUUGAAAUCUGGCAACAGCCCGAAUUGUAAUUUGCAGAGGAAGCUUCUGGUAAUGCACUGUCUAAGUCCCCUGGAACGGGGCGCCACAGCGGGUGAGAGCCCCAUGUGAUGGCUGCAGACCCAGUGUGAAGCUCCUUCGACGAGUCGAGUAGUUUGGGAAUGCUGCUCAAAAUGGGAGGUAAAUUCCUUCUAAAGCUAAAUAUUGGCCAGAGACCGAUAGCGCACAAGUAGAGUGAUCGAAAGAUGAAAAGCACUUUGAAAAGAGGGUUAAACAGCAC
RNAcentral lists this ribosomal RNA (352 nucleotides) under uncultured fungus. RNAcentral describes it as "eukaryotic LSU rRNA". It matches the Rfam family "Eukaryotic large subunit ribosomal RNA", at positions 40 to 398 of the family's 3401-position model. Lineage: Eukaryota; Fungi. The record is from RNAcentral.